AUUUUUUUUUUGGUAUACUCGACCGGUUCACUUGAUUGGUUUGUGUUUUUGGUUUGCUGUUACUAACGUAUUAACGCUUAUUUUUGAGUUUCGUCUGUUUUCAGGUUUCAUCAUGAGUAACUACAAUGAAGAAUCCUCUAUGGACCCUGAUUACAAUGUGGAUGAAGCUGAGUCCUGGUCCGCUAGACCGAGAGAGCGACAUAUUUACCAGAGCUUCAGGGAUGAAUUCGAACGCUCUGCAGCCCGACGUAAUCAGAGAAGAGCUGAAAUUGCCAGAGGAAAGAGGGCGAUGUCAAGUAAAUAUGAGCUGAUUGAUUAGGAUAUCGAAACUGAGUAUGAGCCAGAGUCAUGGCGCAAGGAGACGAAGCUGCUGAACAAACCCGACGAGGUUACAGUGGAGGAGUAUAUCAGAUUCUUUGAGAUGAAUGACUUCUGGGGAACGAGGUAUCCGUGCUAUGAGACUUUAGCCCAGCUGGGGUUACUAGAGGACGUGCAGCAUCUGUUCGAGAAGUGUCAUCUGGAGACACUCAUGUCUUACCCUUACCCUGCCUAUAAGGAGGAGACAAUCCAGUUUCUUUCCACGCUGCAAGUGGAGAUGUAUGAGGCACUCACAGACUUUGAGCUGAAUACCAUGGGGUUAGGCUUCUUGACGUUCUCAGUGAAUGAACAGCGGUAUCAGCUUUCGAUCAAGAAGUUGGAAAAACUGUUUGGUUUCCCUAGUGGAAAGCGAACUAAACCCAGAUUUGACAUAGAAGAGCUUAAGGAUUUAUGGGCCACUAUAGGGAACAAUCUACCGCUAAACUCGGCGCGGUCCAAGAGCAACCAAAUCCGGAGUCCUGUGAUCCGCUACUUUCAGAGAUGGGUUGCCAACGUCUUUUACUCCAGGGAAUCUACAGGCACCGUGUCUAACACGGACAUGGAGAUGAUAGAUUAUGCGCUUACAGGGAUUCUCCGUCAGACGAACGAAAAGAAUGUCUUGAGAGGCGAUCUCAACAACGCACCACCAGUAAUGUCUCUGUUGAUCCAUCUGUGUGGAUACAGGAAAUGGGCGUUGAAGAACGGAAAGAAGAAGGUGAGAGGAGCACUAUGCGUGGGUGGCGUUGUGACGCCAAUUCUGGAAGCUUGUGGAGUACCGCUCAAGGAACCAGGGUUAGCACCGAGGAUGAUGGACUUGGAUCAUUUGCGUAGAUGUGAGUUCUUGGAGUUUGACAUGGCUCGCGACUUUCGCCAACAUUCUUCUCCCCUGCAUUGACGCUACUAGGAUUCUCGAGGGCAGGAACAUUGACUUCAAGCCUGCGCUUAAAGAUCUUUAUUUCGAGGGCAGUCCACCAACUGAGGAGAUCAGUCAUACCGAAGGAGCUACAACAGAAGAUGUUGAUGAGACGGAUGAUAUAGAUGAGGCGGAGUUUGACACGAGCAUGUAUCAUUUCAGUGAGCAUAUAUCUCCUGCGAGGGAAAGCAAGAGUUUGAGCGAAGCUCACAGGAACAACAGCAAGCUGCAGAAGUGGUGCAAGAAACAGGACAACUUACUCGCCAAGUGCCUCAGGGCUAUCAAGUUUCUGAAGGACAAGAUCAGCUGCUCCUCUUCCACUACAGCUAUUCCGCAGGGACAUCUCCCUCGGGACAUGCCUUCGAGGAGAUAUGACGCGCCCGAGCCAAGUCGGCGCAGGCCCGAGCCUAGAGAGCAGGAGAUUCCGCAUGUCCCUGCGAGGCAUUCAUCAUUCGAGCCUCGUGAAUCUGAAGGAAGAGGAGGACCACACUCACUCGAUCUAGCAGUAGGAGCAGACAACUUCUGCAGUCUCGUAGUUUACGCGACCGCGGUGCUGGCCGCAGCAGAGCUGAUGAGGUCGAGUACCCACCUGCUGGAGCUGAUAGAGAACAAGGUGGUUCGUCUAUGGCCUGGGAGCAAUCACAGGCAGCCAUUGACGAGCAACUACGUUCAUUCUUCGACUGAGGUAAGCGCCUCACUUCACCAUUGUAUUAUAUCAUCUAUUGUGAUUUGUUUCUUCAUUUUUUGUUUCUGUGAUUGGAUUUGUCCUAAGUACUCUCUUCCAAGUUUGGGGGAGGGCUCAGGAAGUGUGUGUUGCAUUGUGUAUAUUUUUGAGUCUGCAUUCAUCUAAGGCAUAGAAAAACCAAAAAAAUUUGAAAAAUUUCAGAAAAUGAUUUCACAAAAAAAAGAGUGUUCAUGUUGUUGCAUUACAUUUAGGAUCGAGUAUAUAGUGUUUCAUUUAGGAUUGUUGCAUAUGCAUAGGGGAUGAUGAUGAGAUAGCCUUGUAAGCAUUUUGAUUCACUGGAUAAACUCAGUGCCCUCGUUGCUAGUUGUCUGUUGCGUAGUCAAUGAAUUUGAAAUAAAACUGAACCAUGCCUAGAUUGCUCUAUUCGACCACACUGUCAUGAUCUGAUACCAUUCCCUAUCAAUUUGAACCUGAAUCUGAUCUUUAAUUAUCAUGUCUGCAUCAAAUUUGAACUCAUGGAUACCCUAAAAUACUUGGAUUUUCUUAUUCAUUUUGAUCACUCUUGUUAAUCCAAGUAGUUGACUCUCCUUAUUAGAGCAGUUAACCCAAACUCAAACCUAGACUUUCUUUCAAGCCCUAUAUCACUUGUGAGUGUUUGUGAGGUCUUAUUCCGAUUAAGCUUGGUAGAAAGUGUUAGGUUCGUAACCACAAAGAUAGUGUCUCAUGUAGUUCUAGUUUGCAUUUUUCGGACUAGAUAAGACUAGGUGGGCGCUUAUACUUUGGGUUGGGAUGUGUUUAAAAUAAA
Molecule: small RNA, 2760 nt
Filed under: Arabidopsis thaliana (thale cress)
Lineage: Eukaryota; Viridiplantae; Streptophyta; Magnoliopsida; Brassicales; Brassicaceae
Description: ATSL031250
Rfam family: MIR854 microRNA precursor family (bases 1384-1604)
Source: RNAcentral